UGCCCAGCAACUCCUAUCCCUACCUCCUCGCGGUACUGGCCGGAGUGCGAGUAACCUAAGGGAAGAUCGGAUAAUCAACCCCGGUGGGAACUCUGGUCGUAUGCUGACAGGGAAGA
RNAcentral lists this ribozyme (116 nucleotides) under Aedes aegypti (yellow fever mosquito). RNAcentral's name for it is "drz-agam-1 ribozyme". It matches the Rfam family "drz-agam-1 ribozyme". The record is from Rfam by way of RNAcentral. Lineage: Eukaryota; Metazoa; Arthropoda; Insecta; Diptera; Culicidae.